Molecule: ribosomal RNA, 488 nt
Filed under: Walaphyllium monteithi
Lineage: Eukaryota; Metazoa; Arthropoda; Insecta; Phasmatodea; Phylliidae
Description: partial large subunit ribosomal RNA
Rfam family: Bacterial large subunit ribosomal RNA (bases 347-488)
Source: RNAcentral
AAUGAUUUUUUUAAUGGCCGCGGUAUUUUGACCGUGCAAAGGUAGCAUAAUCAUUAGUUUAUUAAUUGUGGAAUGGUAUGAAUGGCUGGACGAAAUAUUAUCUGUCUCUUGUUUAAUUUUUAGAAUUUAAUUUUUGAGUUAAAAAGCUUAAAUUUUUUUAUAGGACGAGAAGACCCUAUAGAUCUUUAUUUUUAAUUUUAUUAAUUUAUUUAGUUUAUUUUAUUUUGAUAUAAUUUUUUAUUUUGUUGGGGUGACAUUAAGAUAUUUAUAAUUCUUAAUUUUAUUUUUCAUUAAUUUAUGUUUAUAUGAUCUUUUAUUAUUGCUUAUAAGAAAUAGAUACCUUAGGGAUAACAGCGUAAUUCCUAUUUAGAGUUCAUAUUGACAUAGGAGAUUGCGACCUCGAUGUUGAAUUAAGAUUAUUAUUAGGUGUAGAUGCUUAAUUAUUUGGUCUGUUCGACCAUUAAAUUCUUACAUGAUCUGAGUUCAAA